This 307-nucleotide ribosomal RNA is filed under the name uncultured cyanobacterium. Its description in RNAcentral is "bacterial SSU rRNA". It matches the Rfam family "Bacterial small subunit ribosomal RNA", at positions 28 to 339 of the family's 1533-position model. Lineage: Bacteria; Bacillati; Cyanobacteriota. The record is from RNAcentral.
GACGAACGCUGGCGGCGUGCUUCAUACAUGCAAGUCGAACGAGAAGCUGACUUCGGUCAGUGGAAAGUGGCGGACGGGUGAGUAAUAUGUAGGAAAUCUGCCCUAGAGAGGGGGACAACAGAGGGAAACUUCUGCUAAUACCCCAUAUGAGCUUAGUUGAAAUACUAAUCUUGAAAACUCCGGUGCUCUAGGAUGAGCCUGCAUCUGAUUAGCUAGUUGGCGGUGUAAUGGACCACCAAGGCGACGAUCUCUAGCUGGUUUGAGAGGACAAUCAGCCACAUUGGAAUUGAGAAACGGACCAAACUCC